This 425-nucleotide ribosomal RNA is filed under the name uncultured bacterium. RNAcentral describes it as "bacterial SSU rRNA". It matches the Rfam family "Bacterial small subunit ribosomal RNA", at positions 355 to 796 of the family's 1533-position model. The record is from RNAcentral.
UGGGGAAUCUUGCGCAAUGGGCGAAAGCCUGACGCAGCAACGCCGCGUGGGGGAUGAAGGCCCUCGGGUUGUAAACCCCUUUCAGCAGGAACGAAAUUGACGGUACCUGCAGAAGAAGGCCCGGCCAACUACGUGCCAGCAGCCGCGGUAACACGUAGGGGCCAAGCGUUGUCCGGAUUUAUUGGGCGUAAAGAGCUCGUAGGCGGUUGGGUAAGUCGGGUGUGAAAACUCCAGGCUCAACUUGGAGACGCCACCCGAUACUGCUCUGACUUGAGUUCGGUAGGGGAGUGGGGAAUUCCUGGUGUAGCGGUGAAAUGCGCAGAUAUCAGGAGGAACACCGGUGGCGAAGGCGCCACUCUGGGCCGAAACUGACGCUGAGGAGCGAAAGCGUGGGUAGCAAACAGGAUUAGAUACCCCCGUAGUCC